Molecule: microRNA precursor, 189 nt
Filed under: Oryza nivara
Lineage: Eukaryota; Viridiplantae; Streptophyta; Magnoliopsida; Poales; Poaceae
Description: MIR812 microRNA precursor family
Rfam family: MIR812 microRNA precursor family
Source: Rfam by way of RNAcentral
UUUAGGUACAACCAUGGUUUUUCGCGUCCAACUUUGACAGUCCGUUUUAUUUGAAUUUUUUUUAAAAAAAUUUAGGAACAUAAGUCACAAGUAAAGUACUAUUCAUAUUUUAUUAUAUCAUAACAAUACAAAUAUUAAUUAUAAAAAGUCUUUAAAUAAGACACUUAAAAUAGGACGGGAGAGAGAGGG